UACAGAGGGUGCGAGCGUUAAUCGGAAUUACUGGGCGUAAAGCGUGCGUAGACGGUAGCGUAAGUCAGAUGUGAAAGCCCCGGGCUCAACCUGGGAACUGCAUUUGAGACUGCUCUGCUCGGGUGCGGAAGAGGGAAGCGGAAUUUCCGGUGUAGCGGUGAAAUGCGUAGAUAUCGGAAGGAACACCAGUGGCGAAAGCGGCUUCCUGGUUCGACACCGACGUUCAGGCACGAAAGCGUGGGGAGCAAACAGG
This 253-nucleotide ribosomal RNA is filed under the name uncultured bacterium. RNAcentral's name for it is "partial 16S ribosomal RNA". It matches the Rfam family "Bacterial small subunit ribosomal RNA", at positions 524 to 776 of the family's 1533-position model. The record is from RNAcentral.